UACGUAGGGUGCGAGCGUUAAUCGGAAUUACUGGGCGUAAAGCGUGCGCAGGCGGUUCGUUGUGUCGGCGGUGAAAGCCCCGGGCUUAACCUGGGAAUGGCCGUUGAAACUGGCGAACUGGAGUGUGGCAGAGGGGGGUGGAAUUCCACGUGUAGCAGUGAAAUGCGUAGAGAUGUGGAGGAAUACCGAUGGCGAAGGCAGCCCCCUGGGUCAAUACUGACGCUCAUGCACGAAAGCGUGGGGAGCAAACAGG
Molecule: ribosomal RNA, 253 nt
Filed under: uncultured bacterium
Lineage: Bacteria
Description: partial 16S ribosomal RNA
Rfam family: Bacterial small subunit ribosomal RNA
Source: RNAcentral